CCAGACUCCUAUGGGAGGCAGCAGUGGGGAAUAUUGCACAAUGGGGGGAACCCUGAUGCAGCGACGCCGCGUGAGCGAUGAAGUAUUUCGGUAUGUAAAGCUCUAUCAGCAGGGAAGAAAAUGACGGUACCUGACUAAGAAGCCCCGGCUAACUACGUGCCAGCAGCCGCGGUAAUACGUAGGGGGCAAGCGUUAUCCGGAUUUACUGGGUGUAAAGGGAGCGUAGACGGCUGUGCAAGUCUGGAGUGAAAGGCAUGGGCUCAACCUGUGGACUGCUUUGGAAACUGUGCGGCUUGAGUGUCGGAGAGGCAAGUGGAAUUCCUAGUGUAGCGGUGAAAUGCGUAGAUAUUGCGCAGAACUCCGAUUGCGAAGGCAGCCUACCGGCUCCUGUCUGACGCUGAGGCACGAAAGCGUGGGUAUCGAACAGGAUUAGAUACCCGCGUAC
RNAcentral lists this ribosomal RNA (445 nucleotides) under uncultured bacterium. Its description in RNAcentral is "bacterial SSU rRNA". It matches the Rfam family "Bacterial small subunit ribosomal RNA", at positions 331 to 793 of the family's 1533-position model. The record is from RNAcentral.